GACGAACGCUGGCGGCGUGCUUAACACAUGCAAGUCGAACGGAAAGGCCUGCUUUCCCUUGUGGAUUGCGGGUACUCGAGUGGCGAACGGGUGAGUAACACGUGAGUGAUCUGCCCCCAACUUGGGUAUAAGCCUGGGAAACUGGGUCUAAUUCCCGAUAGGACUGCAGGGUGGUGCCUGUGGUGGAAAACGAUUUUCUAGUGGUUGGGGAUGAGCUCGCGGCCUAUCAGCUUGUUGGUGGGGUAAUGGCCUACCAAGGCGGCGACGGGUAGCCGGCCUGGGAGGGUGGACGGCCACAUUGGGACUGAGAUACGGCCCAGACUCCUACGGGAGGCAGCAGUGGGGAAUAUUGCACAAUGGGCGGAAGCCUGAUGCAGCGACGCCGCGUGGGGGAUGACGGCCUUCGGGUUGUAAACUCCUUUCGACCGCGAGGAAGCCACCUGGUUGAAAGGGUGGUGACGGUAGUGGUAGAAGAAGCACCGGCUAACUACGUG
Molecule: ribosomal RNA, 494 nt
Filed under: uncultured bacterium
Lineage: Bacteria
Description: partial 16S ribosomal RNA
Rfam family: Bacterial small subunit ribosomal RNA
Source: RNAcentral